ACGCCCCCAAGGGUCUUCAGCAGUGAUAAACAUUGAGUAUGAGCGUCAGCUCGACUCAGUUAAAUUAAUUAGGGCCGGCUAAUCUGGUGCCAGCCGCCGCGGUUACACCAUGUGGCUCAAAUUGAUUCCUUUCGGCGUAAAGCGUGAUUUAAGUUCUUCACUAUUUCUGGAAUCCAACUAAAACUAAGCUGUGACACGCUUGUUACCUGUGAAGCCCAUAAACGAAAGUUAUUCCAACUUUACCAACUUGAACUCACGUCAACUGAGAAACAAACUGGGAUUAGAUACCCCACUAUGCUCAGUCGUAAACUUUUAUAUUACCACCUUUCCCCGCCAGGGUACUACGAGCAAAGCUUAAAACCCAAAGGACUUGACGGUACCCCAUAUCCCCCUAGAGGAGCCUGUCCUAUAAUCGAUAACCCCCGCUAAACCUCACCCUCUCUAGCAAUUUCAGCCUGUAUACCUCCGUCGUCAGCUUACCCCGUGAGCGUCAGUGAGCUUAAUGUCUUUCAACUACACGUCAGGUCAAGGUGCAACUUAUGAGACGGCCAGAGAUGGGCUACACUCUCUAAUAUAGACCACACGAAAGACUACUUAUGAAACCUAGUCAGAAGGCGGAUUUAGAAGUAAAACGGAAUCACGAGAGUCCUUUUUAACCCGGCACUGGGGUGUGUACACACCGCCCGUCACCCUCCUCAACGCUAACAAAAAGUUUUUAACCCACCUUUAGCUGCACAGAAGAGGCAAGUCGUAACAUGGUAAGUAUACCGGAAGUGUGCUUGGAAA
This 786-nucleotide ribosomal RNA is filed under the name Colostethus sp. ruthveni-like. Its description in RNAcentral is "partial 12S ribosomal RNA". It matches the Rfam family "Bacterial small subunit ribosomal RNA", at positions 333 to 1522 of the family's 1533-position model. Lineage: Eukaryota; Metazoa; Chordata; Amphibia; Anura; Dendrobatidae. The record is from RNAcentral.